This 1109-nucleotide ribosomal RNA is filed under the name Alteromonas sp. D5056. RNAcentral describes it as "bacterial SSU rRNA". It matches the Rfam family "Bacterial small subunit ribosomal RNA", at positions 36 to 1153 of the family's 1533-position model. Lineage: Bacteria; Pseudomonadati; Pseudomonadota; Gammaproteobacteria; Alteromonadales; Alteromonadaceae. The record is from RNAcentral.
CCCGGGGCGGCCGGCCUAAACAUGCGAGUCGAACGGUAACAUUUCUAGCUUGCUAGAAGAUGACGAGUGGCGGACGGGUGAGUAAUGCUUGGGAACUUGCCUUUGCGAGGGGGAUAACAGUUGGAAACGACUGCUAAUACCGCAUAAUGUCUUCGGACCAAACGGGGCUUUUAGCUCCGGCGCAAAGAGAGGCCCAAGUGAGAUUAGCUAGUUGGUGAGGUAAAGGCUCACCAAGGCAACGAUCUCUAGCUGUUCUGAGAGGAAAAUCAGCCACACUGGGACUGAAACACGGCCCAAACUCCUACGGGAGGCAGCAGUGGGGAAUAUUGCACAAUGGGCGAAAGCCUGAUGCAGCCAUGCCGCGUGUGUGAAGAAGGCCUUCGGGUUGUAAAGCACUUUCAGUUGUGAGGAAAAGUUGGUAGUUAAUACCUGCCAGCCGUGACGUUAACAACAGAAAAAGCACCGGCUAACUCCGUGCCAGCAGCCGCGGUAAUACGGAGGGUGCGAGCGUUAAUCGGAAUUACUGGGCGUAAAGCGCACGCAGGCGGUUUGUUAAGCUAGAUGUGAAAGCCCCGAGCUCAACUUGGGAUGGUCAUUUAGAACUGGCAGACUAGAGUCUUGGAGAGGGGAGUGGAAUUCCAGGUGUAGCGGUGAAAUGCGUAGAUAUCUGGAGGAACAUCAGUGGCGAAGGCGACUCCCUGGCCAAAGACUGACGCUCAUGUGCGAAAGUGUGGGUAGCGAACAGGAUUAGAUACCCUGGUAGUCCACACCGUAAACGCUGUCUACUAGCUGUGUGUGCCUUUAAGGCGUGCGUAGCGAAGCUAACGCGAUAAGUAGACCGCCUGGGGAGUACGGCCGCAAGGUUAAAACUCAAUGAAUUGACGGGGGCCCGCACAAGCGGUGGAGCAUGGGGUUUAAUUCGAUGCAACGCGAAGAACCUUACCUACACUUGACAUGCAGAGAGUUACUAGAGAUAGUUUCGUGCCUUCGGACUCUGACACAGGUGCUGCAUGCUGUCGUCAGCUCGUGUCGUGGAGAUGUUGGGUAGUCCCGCACGGAGCGCACCCUUGUCCUUAGUGCCAGCAUAGUGGCACCUCUAGGAGACUGCG